RNAcentral lists this ribosomal RNA (260 nucleotides) under uncultured bacterium. RNAcentral describes it as "partial 16S ribosomal RNA". It matches the Rfam family "Bacterial small subunit ribosomal RNA", at positions 521 to 779 of the family's 1533-position model. The record is from RNAcentral.
UAAUACGGGGGGAGCAAGCGUUGUUCGGAUUUACUGGGCGUAAAGGGCGCGUAGGCGGUCAGCACAAGUCAGUUGUGAAAUCUCCGGGCUUAACCCGGAAAGGUCAACUGAUACUGUGCGACUAGAGUGCGGAAGGGGCAACUGGAAUUCUCGGUGUAGCGGUGAAAUGCGUAGAUAUCGAGAGGAACACCUGCGGCGAAGGCGGGUUGCUGGGCCGACACUGACGCUGAUGCGCGAAAGCCAGGGGAGCGAACGGGAUU